This is a ribosomal RNA of Gadus morhua (Atlantic cod), 120 nucleotides long. NCBI's taxonomy places the organism in Eukaryota, Metazoa, Chordata, Actinopteri, Gadiformes, Gadidae. The record is from Ensembl.
GCUUACAGGCCAUACCACCAUAGGCAAGCCCGAUCUCGUCUGAUCUCGGAAGCUAAGCAGGGUCGGGCCUGGUUAGUACUUGGAUGGGUGACCGUCUGGGAAUACCAGGUGCUGUAAGCA